GCUGGGCGCCAUGGUGUGGGCCUGUAGUCCCAGCUACUCAGGAGGCUAAGGUGGGAGGAUCGCUUGAGCCCAGGAGUUCUGGGCUGUAGUGCGCUAUGCUGAUCGGGUGUCUGCACUAAGUUCAGCAUCAAUAUAGUGACCUCCCGGGAGCGGGGGACCACCAGGUUGCCUAAGGAGGGGUGAACCAGCCCAGGUCAGAAACAGAGCAGGUCAACAACUCGUGCGUGAUCAGUAGUGGGAUCGCGCCUGUGAAUAGCUGCUGCACUCCAGCCUGGGCAACAUAGCAAGACCCCGUCUCU
This 299-nucleotide signal recognition particle RNA is filed under the name Aotus nancymaae (Ma's night monkey). RNAcentral describes it as "Metazoan signal recognition particle RNA (ENSANAG00000003794.1)". It matches the Rfam family "Metazoan signal recognition particle RNA". Rfam says of the family: The signal recognition particle (SRP) is a universally conserved ribonucleoprotein. It is involved in the co-translational targeting of proteins to membranes. Lineage: Eukaryota; Metazoa; Chordata; Mammalia; Primates; Aotidae. The record is from RNAcentral.